GCUUGUCUCAAAGAUUAAGCCAUGCAUGUCUAAGUAUAAACGAUUUUAUACGUGAAACUGCGAAUGGCUCAUUAUAUCAGUUAUAGUUUAUUUGAUGGUCCUUACUACUUGGAUAACCGUAGUAAUUCUAGAGCUAAUACAUGCAUCAAGCCCUGACUUCGGAAGGGGUGUAUUUAUUAGAUGGAAACCAAUGCGGGGCAACCCGGAAAAUGGUGAUUCAUGAUAACUUUGCGAAUCGCAUAGCUUUAAUGCUGGCGAUGGGUCAUUCAAAUUUCUGCCCUAUCAACUUUCGACGGUAGGAUAGAGGCCUACUGUGGUGAUAACGGGUAACGAAGAAUAAGGGUUCGAUUUCGGAGAGGGAGCCUGAGAAACGGCUACCACAUCCAAGGAAGGCAGCAGG
Molecule: ribosomal RNA, 400 nt
Filed under: uncultured Blastocladiomycota
Lineage: Eukaryota; Fungi; Blastocladiomycota
Description: partial small subunit ribosomal RNA
Rfam family: Eukaryotic small subunit ribosomal RNA
Source: RNAcentral